GUGGAUUAGAUACCCUGGUAGUCCUAGCCGUAAACGAUGGGCACUAGGUGUGGGGGGUCAUCAACUCCCUCCGUGCCGCAGCUAACGCAUUAAGUGCCCCGCCUGGGGAGUACGACCGCAAGGUUAAAACUCAAAGGAAUUGACGGGGGCCCGCACAAGCAGCGGAGCAUGUGGCUUAAUUCGACGCAACGCGAAGAACCUUACCAGGGCUUGACAUGCAGGGAAAAGCGGCGGAAACGUCGUGUCCGCAAGGGCCCUGCACAGGUGGUGCACGGCUGUCGUCAGCU
Molecule: ribosomal RNA, 287 nt
Filed under: uncultured bacterium
Lineage: Bacteria
Description: partial 16S ribosomal RNA
Rfam family: Bacterial small subunit ribosomal RNA
Source: RNAcentral